AUUUUUCAAGAUAAUAUCAGAACUUUUUUAUAUAUUACAAUUACAAUAUAUAUUACAAUAUAGAUAUAAUUUUUUAUUAUUAUUAUAAAUUCUAAAAUAGAAUAGUGGGCAAACAAAAGAGAGGGAGGUUUAUUGAGUAAAUAGAACUUCUUCAAUAAACUUCAAAAAUUGAUAUUUUGAUGAGAUACAAAAAAAAUACUAAGGUUUUAUUCUUAUUUGAGGAUAGUAUGUAGGAAAUCGAGUAAUUUAUUCUUUCUUCUAACUUUGAAAGUAUCGAUAGAAACUAUCGAGCAACGGGCGCAUGGAUCAAUGAACUUCAUUUUUCAAAAACAAAAACAUCAUCAGAAAAAUAGAAUGGAGUCUUGCCAUUUAUACGAAAAAAUAUUCUAAUUCUUAAGAACUCAAGGGGGUUCCCUUCUUUGUAUGAUUUGAGGGGGGAGGUCAAUUAAUCUGAUUACUACAGAGAUGAACCCAAUCCAGAAUAUGAACCAUAAAAGAAAAUACCUAUUAAACCGAUCACAAGAAUACCAGCUACAGUACCGAUU
Molecule: long non-coding RNA, 545 nt
Filed under: Daucus carota (carrot)
Lineage: Eukaryota; Viridiplantae; Streptophyta; Magnoliopsida; Apiales; Apiaceae
Description: long non-coding RNA (DCAR_LNC006084)
Source: RNAcentral